Molecule: long non-coding RNA, 629 nt
Organism: Teleopsis dalmanni
Lineage: Eukaryota; Metazoa; Arthropoda; Insecta; Diptera; Diopsidae
Exons: 4
Source: RefSeq, a predicted model, not a curated record
UUCAACUUUUAACGUUUCGUUUAAAAUUUUAAUUAUUUUUGCAAAUAUGUGGUCCAAACUGCUUUUGAUUUCUCUCCUAACUUUACUGGCAGCAAUAAUAAUCCAUAUAUAUUUUAUUGGAGAUGAAGUAUGCUUUUUAACCACUGAAAAUUUAAUUAUUAUGGAAAUGGUAAAAGGUUGUAUGAUCAGCUGUGGAAUAUUAUUUACUUUCUUACUUGCAAUAUUAGCGGGCUUCUGGCAUAUAAUCAAAAAUUACCGUAGGCGCGCUGGUCUCAAAAACUAAAAUUCUUUUAACAUUGGUGGAAAUAAAAUGGAAUGGACCUGCAACUUAAGAAAUGUAAUGUUUCUUAAAAUUGUUAAAACAGAAGAGGAGGAGGGGUGACAAAAAUUUCUAACAGCAGAAAUUACUCAGUAAUAAUUUUUGCAGACUAAUUUGCAGACAAAAUUAACAUUUUUAUUUGAAAGGCUAAAGUAAUUGUUAAGGAAAAUAUUACGACUUAAGUAAUAUUCCUCUCACGGACGUAUGGGGAAACUGUUUCCAUUUCUCAGUGGAAAGGACUAAUAAAAUUAAAGACAAAUUUUAUUUUAUUACUAAAGUUUUAUUUUUCAAAUCAAAAUAAAUGUGGAAC